GAUCUUCAGGCGCAGUGGAGACACCUGCUUGUCGGUCUGGGCGAUCGGGGGCGGAUGGCCUCUGAUUCUGGGCCUCAGGUUGGGGGCUUGGUGCCUUUGAGGAUCA
This 106-nucleotide transfer RNA is filed under the name Synechococcus sp. RS9917. RNAcentral's name for it is "tRNA-Gln". Lineage: Bacteria; Bacillati; Cyanobacteriota; Cyanophyceae; Synechococcales; Synechococcaceae. The record is from RNAcentral.